RNAcentral lists this ribosomal RNA (228 nucleotides) under Eutrochium purpureum. RNAcentral describes it as "partial internal transcribed spacer 2". The record is from RNAcentral. Lineage: Eukaryota; Viridiplantae; Streptophyta; Magnoliopsida; Asterales; Asteraceae.
AUCACGUCGCCCACAUCAAACAUCCUUGUUUGGAUUCCAAUGUGUGUGGGCGGAGACUGGUCUCCUGUGCCCAUGGUGGUGCGGUUGGCCCAAAUANGAGUCCGCUUAAGAGUGACGCACGACUGGUGGUGGUUGAUUACACAGUCGUCUCGUGUCGUGUGUUUUGAUUCUUGACGGGAAAACUUCUUAAAGUACCCUGAUGUGCUGUCUUGUGAUGGCUCUUCGAUC